Molecule: long non-coding RNA, 1263 nt
Organism: Oryzias melastigma (Indian medaka)
Lineage: Eukaryota; Metazoa; Chordata; Actinopteri; Beloniformes; Adrianichthyidae
Exons: 3
Source: RefSeq, a predicted model, not a curated record
CACCUUCAACGCAGCUAUUAAGGAGAAGAUGAAUGAAGAAUCAGAAGGAACCUCAGCUGUUGCAUCAGCCAGUCAAAGAACUACACUGGACCUCAGCCAUGUGGCCUCGCAGCGAUCCCCUUUGAUGAUUUGUCUGCUGCCUUCGCCCAAAGACCGCUCCCCCCAUCUGUUUUCGAGGAGCCGGGGGCGGAGUCAGGGCUCGCCAUGGGCCAACCUUUGUUCCUCGAGAGCUUUGAUGGAGCAGUCGAAGGAGCGGCCAGCUUCCAGCAGUUCUUCCAUUCUUGGAAAACCUCUCAGUCAGUUCUGCCGGAGCAGCCUGAGACCUCUAGAGGACCGGAUGGAAACCCAAUGAAGAGGAGGAGAACGUUACACCAGACUCACCUGUUUAUGUGGUUCUACUUGUAAAAUGUAUAUCACUCUUACAACACUUAGAACUAACUUAUUAAGAUCCUUUAUUUACAAAAAAUUAACCUGAGAAUGAAUAAAAAAAACGGAUUACAAGCACAAGCAACAGUGUUUACUAUAUCAUAAGGUGCACCAGAUUAUAAAGUCAAUGAAUGGUUUAUUUUUGAGCUUAUGUCAUAUAUAUAUCAACGUAUUCUCACUCCCAACUGUUCAUAUAUGGACGUAUGGUUCUGGCCUCCUACGCGCCACUUUUUGACGUUUUGGGUGUCCCCAACUCCUCAUUUUUAGACAUGCUGGCUGAUCCCAUUAAAUCAUGGGUGCCCAACCCUAGGGACGCAGUACCAGACACAAAACCGGUGCUGGGUUAGGGUACUGGUCCAUGACAGGUCCGGUCUAUGUCUCGGUUCCGGACCUGUGCUGAUCCGCGUCCCUAGGGUCGGGGACCCCUGGUUAGCAUAUGCCUUUUGUCUGUGGCCCAGCACCAAGUGGCCCUCGGACCGGUACCAGUUUGUGGCCCAGAGGUUGGGGACCUGGUUUAAUGGGAACAGCCAGCACAUUAAAAAACAACGUUUAUCGUGUUGAAAAUACAGUAAAGAAAAAUGUUGCACAUCUCAUGUUUUGCAGAUGUUAAAUUAAUGUAUUGUAGAGUAGGGAACGGACAGGAGAAAUUGAGUGCUGCUGAAAAAAACAGAUUACAGGCCUUUCAGAGGGUCGGAUUCUGUUUUCUGUGACAUGAACCCGAAGGUAGGAUGGUCAGGUCAGUACAGACUAUGAUGAGUCAAACUCAGCUGACAUGUCAUGAACGUUUAAACAAGCGUUUGCCUUCAGAACUCACUGAAAAGUUGCCAAAAAAAACAA